This 458-nucleotide ribosomal RNA is filed under the name uncultured bacterium. RNAcentral describes it as "partial 16S ribosomal RNA". It matches the Rfam family "Bacterial small subunit ribosomal RNA", at positions 338 to 795 of the family's 1533-position model. The record is from RNAcentral.
CCUACGGGUGGCAGCAGUGAGGAAUAUUGGUCAAUGGGCGAGAGCCUGAACCAGCCAAGUCGCGUGAGGGAGUACUGCCCUAUGGGUUGUAAACCUCUUUUGUCGGGGAGCAAAAGCCGGACGUGUCCGGCUGUGAGAGUACCCGAAGACAAAGCAUCGGCUAACUCCGUGCCAGCAGCCGCGGUAAUACGGAGGAUGCGAGCGUUAUCCGGAUUUAUUGGGUUUAAAGGGUGCGCAGGCGGAUUUUUAAGUCAGCGGUAAAAUCGUGGGGUGCAACCCCAUCCAGCCGUUGAAACUGGGGAUCUAGAGUGUGCGAGAGGUAUGCGGAAUGCGUGGUGUAGCGGUGAAAUGCAUAGAUAUCACGCAGAACCCCGAUUGCGAAGGCAGCAUACCGGUGCACAACUGACGCUCAGGCACGAAAGCGUGGGUAUCGAACAGGAGUAGAUACCCGAGUAGUC